UGAGGCUGUGGUGUAACGGCGGCACAUCGGUCUUUUAAACCGAACGGUGAGGGUUCGAAUCCCUCCGGCCUCAU
RNAcentral lists this transfer RNA (74 nucleotides) under Fuerstiella marisgermanici. RNAcentral describes it as "Fuerstia marisgermanicae tRNA-Lys". It matches the Rfam family "tRNA". From Rfam's summary of the family: Transfer RNA (tRNA) molecules are approximately 80 nucleotides in length. Their secondary structure includes four short double-helical elements and three loops (D, anti-codon, and T loops). Lineage: Bacteria; Pseudomonadati; Planctomycetota; Planctomycetia; Planctomycetales; Planctomycetaceae. The record is from RNAcentral.